Molecule: unclassified non-coding RNA, 283 nt
Filed under: Hevea brasiliensis (rubber tree)
Lineage: Eukaryota; Viridiplantae; Streptophyta; Magnoliopsida; Malpighiales; Euphorbiaceae
Source: RNAcentral
AUGAAAAUCACAUUACUUCCACACAACUACAUUUACUCUAGUUUCUGUUCUUAAUUGAAACUGUGGUUGAUGAGUUGAUCAAGGGGCACAUGUAUAUGCAAUUGUUUGUGCUUUGUGUACAACUUGACUUUGUCAACAGAAUUUUCUUUGCAUGUUAGUUGUCAAUUUAAUAUAUGAGAUGCCAUUCCCUGUGUAAUCCUUUAGGGAUUUUUUUUCCCUUAAUCAUUGAAUUUCUCAUCAUUUUCGUAAGUAUUGAUUGGCUAAUUUGCUUUCUGAUGUUUGA